UCGUAACAAGGUUUCCGUAGGUGAACCUGCGGAAGGAUCAUUACCGAGUGCGGGUUCUAACGAGCCCAACCUCCCACCCGUGUUUACUGUUACCGCGUUGCCUCGGCGGGCCCACUGGGGCCUGGCCCCGGUCGCCGGGGGGCUUCUGCCCCCGGGCCCGCGCCCGCCGAAGCACCCUAGAACCCUGCCUGAAUAGUGAGUCUGAGUGAGAGAUUAAAUCAUUAAAACUUUCAACAACGGAUCUCUUGGUUCCGGCAUCGAUGAAGAACGCAGCGAAAUGCGAUAAGUAAUGUGAAUUGCAGAAUUCCGUGAAUCAUCGAAUCUUUGAACGCACAUUGCGCCCCCUGGCAUUCCGGGGGGCAUGCCUGUCCGAGCGUCAUUUCUGCCCUCCAGCACGGCUGGGUGUUGGGCGCUGUCCCCCCGGGGACACGCCCCAAAAGCAGUGGCGGCGCCGCGUCGGGUCCUCGAGCGUAUGGGGCUUUGUCACCCGCUCGGGAGGGACUCGGUCGGCGCUGGUCUUCCCUUUAGGCAGCCCUUCGGGGUGUGCCUCUUCCGGUUGACCUCGGAUCAGGUAGGGCUACCCGCUGAACCUAAGCAUAUC
RNAcentral lists this unclassified non-coding RNA (601 nucleotides) under Talaromyces wortmannii. RNAcentral's name for it is "sequence contains 18S rRNA gene, ITS1, 5.8S rRNA gene, ITS2, 28S rRNA gene". The stretch from base 226 to 379 matches the Rfam family "5.8S ribosomal RNA". Lineage: Eukaryota; Fungi; Ascomycota; Eurotiomycetes; Eurotiales; Trichocomaceae. The record is from RNAcentral.